GGGCAGCGAGAUGACUGUGAAAGUCUAGUGACGUUGUUUUACUGUGUUCCCAUUCGGUAAGAUGCCCACAGCAUUGGGAAACCAUUCUCCACUUCAUCAGCCACGUCUUCAGCUGCAACCCCAAGAGUGUUCAGAGACAGAUCAGAGUUCAGUGGUUCCUCAAGAAGUUAAACACAGAGUUACCACACGGCCUGGCAGUUCUACUCCCGAGUGUAUACCCCAAAGAAUCAAAAACAGAUGUUCAAAGAAAAGCUCAUACACAGAUGUUCACAGCAGCACUGUUCACAAUAUCCAAAAGGCGGAAGCAACCCAAAUGCCCACCGACAGAUGCGGGCAUAAAGAAAGUGUGGUCUACCCGUUCAACGGAGCAUCAUCCAACCACAAGAAGGCGCGAACUCCGAACACGUGCCGCCAUGUGGACGGAACUGGAAACAUGCUGCUGCGUGAAAGCAGCACACAGAGGGCCAUGCACUGUAUGAUUCCACUUAUACGAAGCGUCCAGAAUAAGCAAAUCCACAGAAACAUGCCAUAGUGAGCGCGUCCAGUCCUAGCUGCACCGCUAACUUGCUGUUUAACUUUGGGCGAAUCACUGAAUCUCUCUGUGCCUAUGAACUGGGCAUGAUGAUAAACAAGCUGUUCUAUAGUGUUACUGGGAGAACCAAACAAGCUAAGACUUGCAAAGCACGGACAGUCACGCCAGUUCAGGGUGGUGUUGAUGCUGCUGUCUGGGGGACCCCACUCUGACAACCGUGGCUCUGGGGGUCGAAGAAGGUGCACCUGCCUGUCUCCCAGGACUGCAGGGGCAGUUGACCACUCGAGAGAGCAGGUGUAGGAUGGGCCUUGGGACCAGUGGGCCUCAACCUUGGCUACACGUGGAAGGAGGAGUUUGCCAGUUCUACGAACAAAACUGGGCCCCUCCCCCUGGUCUAACAGGUGAGUCUAGCAAGCAAGUGGCAAAGGCUUAAAGUCAGGACAAAAAUCUAUGCUGUGGAGCAGCCGUGCAGGCCACCCUUAGCCUGUGUUAGAAUGACCUUGCAACCCACACCUCAUGACCGAGGACGCCAGCUGGACGGAUCUGCGAGGAGAGAUAAAGGGCGCCUCGCUCUCACGUUUCCCAGCUGCAUUUCUUAGAGACUCAGGGAAUAACGGACGACCCUGGUCCUUGCCCCCCUCCACAUGUACAUAACAGCAGCACUGCUGAACUUGUUUGAACAAAAAGCUAAUGUUCUUAUUCUCUUGAAGCAGAUGACUAUUAGAUGUGUAAGCCCUUUCCUGCACGGACGCUGCUUCGUGAAAAGCUUAAACUGCAUCAGAUUGCAGACCUCGGAGCAGCUCCCCAGAACGCUCUGUUGGAGUAUUUCCUAGGUCUCAAGUUCCUCACCUUGAUUAUCAAAUAAACUCCUCU
Molecule: long non-coding RNA, 1405 nt
Filed under: Equus asinus (donkey)
Lineage: Eukaryota; Metazoa; Chordata; Mammalia; Perissodactyla; Equidae
Description: lncRNA (ENSEASG00005031501.1)
Source: RNAcentral